GUUCUGACUCUCCCCUGACAGAUACGCUUUUGCUCGGUUUCGGCGGUAGGACGGAAAGGGGUUUUCGAACAAUUCCCCCACGGGAUGUGAAACAUUUCUUCCCACCCCCAGGGGGAAGACUGAAAAUGAUACCUCUGUUGGCAAUUCUCCAUGGGAUUUCCCAUCCACAGGUGGAUUGGUUGUGAGACUACAGCACCUACUGACAAGGACGGAACCAGUCCAACAUUCUCCCUGAAACAAAAUAACACCCAAGGAAAACGAAACUGCCUCCUUGAUGAAUAAAUUGUAUUUCUCUGUGAGAAGAAAGACAUACGGCGAGGCAGUUAAAUGUCAAGAAAAAUCACAUUCAGAAGCGCAUCUGAAAUUAAAAGUAUGCCAUGAGAUGUGACAUUCUUAACUUCAUUGCUACUGAGUAAUUGUUAAUUAGAUUAAUGACUGUCCGGUACGCUGAGCUGGAAACUUCAUUUUCAUGCAGUAAGGUGUGAGCUUGCUGCUUUGCCUGCCUGGGACUGAUCUGGGGGCUUCAGAAACAGCUGCACGAAGAAGUGCAGCCAUAAGGUUACUGCCACCGCAGCAAAAAAUAAAAAAAAAAAAAGAGAGGAAAUAAAGUCUCA
Zalophus californianus (California sea lion) is the source of this 614-nucleotide long non-coding RNA. RefSeq lists it as uncharacterized. The transcript has 3 exons. The record is from RefSeq and is a predicted model, not a curated record. Lineage: Eukaryota; Metazoa; Chordata; Mammalia; Carnivora; Otariidae.